UCACAAGUUGUCUCCACUUGACCCUGUC
RNAcentral lists this small RNA (28 nucleotides) under Bombyx mori (domestic silkworm). RNAcentral describes it as "ovarian small RNA-24976". Lineage: Eukaryota; Metazoa; Arthropoda; Insecta; Lepidoptera; Bombycidae. The record is from RNAcentral.